Long non-coding RNA from Setaria italica (foxtail millet), 822 nucleotides. RefSeq lists it as uncharacterized. Lineage: Eukaryota; Viridiplantae; Streptophyta; Magnoliopsida; Poales; Poaceae. The record is from RefSeq and is a predicted model, not a curated record. The transcript is spliced from 3 exons.
AGAACUGUGCGGCAGAGAUCGAUCCUAGCCACCGAUCUUCUCGCUUCGCGAGUUCGCCGUGCGCCGGGUGUGCCCAGAGCCCCAGACCGGCCGCGCCGCCGCCCUGCUCAAGCCGCCGCCGGUCUCCUUGAUCUCGCUGAACAUCCGACGCAGCCGCCCUUCUCGCCUCGCUCUGGUCCUUGAGGUGUUUCACCGCUCGUUGAGGAGUCGUCUCUCGCCUGGUCUCGGCCGAGGAAGGCGCCGGCGGGAAAGGGGCGAGGGGAGAGAGCGAGAUGCCGCACCGAGCGCGGCCGAUGACGGGGCUGCUCGUCUUCAUGGGCGUCAACCUCGUGCUCGUCAACACCAUCUCCCCCGUCUAUGACUUCGUCUGCCUCCACCCCUACUGGGAACGAAGGAGAGAACGUCGCCAAAGGGAACGUGAAGCUCUGCAAGUGAAGGGUUCUCUAGAAACCACUAGCUGAAUUCUCCUUGAGUCGGCAUCUGAGAUGACCUCCUUGAUUUUCUCAGCGUCAUACAACCCUUGCUCCUUCAAGGCUUGCUCAAGCUCUUCUUUUGUAAUGUACCUGCAAGACAAAUGAAGUAUAUGUGUUCUAUAAUAUCUGUAGUCCUGAAGUCAGGUGUCUCAGCUGUGUUGGUUUCAACGUUUAACCCACCCACUGUUAUCCUUGUCGAAAUACUGGAAUGCUGUGUAAAGGUGCUCCUCUCUAUCCAGUUUGUUCAUGUGUACUGUUGCGGUGACGAACUCGUCAUAGUCAAUUAACCCGUUGCCAUCAGCAUCAGCCUGGAAUUAUAUAAAAGGAAUCAAAAGGGGAUCUUUCCAUA